This 371-nucleotide ribosomal RNA is filed under the name uncultured organism. RNAcentral's name for it is "bacterial SSU rRNA". It matches the Rfam family "Bacterial small subunit ribosomal RNA", at positions 526 to 896 of the family's 1533-position model. The record is from RNAcentral.
CAGAGGGUGCGAGCGUUAAUCGGAAUUACUGGGCGUAAAGCGUGCGUAGACGGUUAUUUAAGUCGGGUGUGAAAGCCCCGGGCUCAACCUGGGAAUUGCAUUCGAGACUGAAUAGCUAGGGUACGGUAGAGGGAAGCGGAAUUUCCGGUGUAGCGGUGAAAUGCGUAGAUAUCGGAAGGAACAUCAGUGGCGAAAGCGGCUUCCUGGACCAGUACCGACGUUCAGGCACGAAAGCGUGGGGAGCAAACAGGACUAGAUACCCUGGUAGUCCACGCCAUAAACGAUGAGGACUAGACGUUGGAGGGGUAAGCCUUUCAGUGUCGUAGCUAACGCGCUAAGUCCUCCGCCUGGGGAGUACGGCCGCAAGGUUG